AAAUGGCCUCAAUUUCUAUUAAUUGCAGAGUCUGAGGACCUUGAUUGGUAACAAAAGGGUCACAGGAUGUGUGAGGAUCCUGGAGCCUGGGUUAGAGGGAGGCUGCCAGGAGCUUCUUGUUUCUUGAGCCACUAGCGUUCUAGGAGCCAGCUCACACUGAGGUACUAUAACACCUUACCUAGAAUUCUUGGCUCUUGUGAAGGUUCAAGCUCAGAUAAUUGUUCAAACUGAUGUUUAUAGGGGAGGACAAGCACUAGAAAUUCCUAUGUUAGUCAUUUUGCAGACACCACUCCAGCACUCUUUAAGCAACUGUCACUGAUGAACAUAGAUAUUCAUCCUCCACAAAAUAUUGGAGUAACCAAAAGGUAAAUUGCUCCCAAUGUUGGUAAAUGAUAUAGCACAUGGAAGAGGAAUAAAAGCAGCCCUUCACUGAUGCCACCCUCCUUCCUUUGAGGAAUGAUGGGAAGCAUGCAUUCAAGUUGCAAGGUGUAGCUACAAGGUGUCUUGUCCCCAAGGCUGAAAGCAGAUAUGAGUCACCUGCGGCCAAUACCUACUGUCAACUACAAUUCUGAACUUAACUAAAGUAUGGCAAGAAGAUGUACUCUGCUUUGAUGCUGCUGCUGCUAAGUCGCUUCAGUCGUGUCCGACUCUGU
Bubalus bubalis (water buffalo) is the source of this 653-nucleotide long non-coding RNA. RefSeq lists it as uncharacterized. NCBI's taxonomy places the organism in Eukaryota, Metazoa, Chordata, Mammalia, Artiodactyla, Bovidae. The record is from RefSeq and is a predicted model, not a curated record. The transcript has 5 exons.